UACGUAGGGUGCGAGCGUUAAUCGGAAUUACUGGGCGUAAAGUGUGCGCAGGCGGCAGAGCAAGUCGAGUGUGAAAGCCCCGGGCUUAACUUGGGAAUUGCGCUCGAAACUACUUUGCUGGAGUGUGGCAGAGGAAGGUGGAAUUCCACGUGUAGCGGUGAAAUGACGUAGAGAUGUGGAGGAACACCAGUGGCGAAGGCGACUCUUUGGCCUGUAACUGACGCUGAGGCGCGAAAGCGUGGGGAGCAACAGGG
This 254-nucleotide ribosomal RNA is filed under the name uncultured bacterium. RNAcentral's name for it is "partial 16S ribosomal RNA". It matches the Rfam family "Bacterial small subunit ribosomal RNA", at positions 524 to 776 of the family's 1533-position model. The record is from RNAcentral.